Molecule: ribosomal RNA, 559 nt
Filed under: uncultured bacterium
Lineage: Bacteria
Description: bacterial SSU rRNA
Rfam family: Bacterial small subunit ribosomal RNA
Source: RNAcentral
GACGAACGCUGGCGGCGUGCCUAAGACAUGCAAGUCGAGCGGACACCUUCGGGUGUUAGCGGCGGACGGGUGAGUAACACGUGGAUAACCUGCCUCAUCGACGGGGAUAACAGGCCGAAAGGCCUGCUAAUACCGGGUAAGCUCACGGGGCCGCAUGGCUCUGGGAGAAGAGGCGCUGCAAGGCGCUGCGGUGAGAGGGGUCCGCGUCCCAUUAGCUAGUUGGCGGGGUAAGAGCCCACCAAGGCGACGAUGGGUAGCCGGCCUGAGAGGGCGAACGGCCACACUGGGACUGAGACACGGCCCACACUCCUACGGGAGGCAGCAGUCGGGAAUUUUGCACAAUGGCCGAAAGGCUGAUGCAGCAACGCCGCCUGAGUGAAGAAGGCCUUCAGGUUGUAAAGCUCUGUUGCCCGUGACGAACGGCCAGCUCAAGAAAUGGGGUUGGUUUGACGGUAGCGGGAGAGGAAGCCCCGGCUAACUACGUGCCAGCAUCCCAGGUAAUACGUAAGGGGCGAGCGGUGACCGGAUUUAUUGGGCGUAAAGGGCGUGUAGGCGGCUU